GACAGAGGGUGCAAACGUUGUUCGGAAUUACUGGGCGUAAAGCGCGUGUAGGCGGCACUAUAGGUCGGAUGUGAAAGCCCGCGGCUCAACCGUGGAAGUGCACCCGAAACCAUAGAGCUAGAGUCUCGGAGAGGAAGGUGGAAUGCUUGGUGUAGAGGUGAAAUUCGUAGAUAUCAAGCGGAACACCGGUGGCGAAGGCGGCCUUCUGGACGAUGACUGACGCUGAGACGCGAAAGCGUGGGUAGCAAACAGG
RNAcentral lists this ribosomal RNA (253 nucleotides) under uncultured bacterium. RNAcentral's name for it is "partial 16S ribosomal RNA". It matches the Rfam family "Bacterial small subunit ribosomal RNA", at positions 524 to 776 of the family's 1533-position model. The record is from RNAcentral.